GCGCCCUUAGCUCAGCUGGAUAGAGCACGUCCCUUCUAAGGAUGUGGUCGUAGGUUCGAAUCCUACAGGGCGCG
Transfer RNA from Vibrio ezurae NBRC 102218, 74 nucleotides. It matches the Rfam family "tRNA". From Rfam's summary of the family: Transfer RNA (tRNA) molecules are approximately 80 nucleotides in length. Their secondary structure includes four short double-helical elements and three loops (D, anti-codon, and T loops). Further hydrogen bonds mediate the characteristic L-shaped molecular structure. tRNAs have two regions of fundamental functional importance: the anti-codon, which is responsible for specific mRNA codon recognition, and the 3' end, to which the tRNAs corresponding amino acid is attached (by aminoacyl-tRNA synthetases). tRNAs cope with the degeneracy of the genetic code in two manners: having more than one tRNA (with a specific anti-codon) for a particular amino acid; and 'wobble' base-pairing, i.e. permitting non-standard base-pairing at the 3rd anti-codon position. The record is from Rfam. Lineage: Bacteria; Pseudomonadati; Pseudomonadota; Gammaproteobacteria; Vibrionales; Vibrionaceae.